RNAcentral lists this non-coding RNA (186 nucleotides) under Magnetococcales bacterium. Its description in RNAcentral is "6S RNA". It matches the Rfam family "6S / SsrS RNA". Rfam says of the family: E. coli 6S RNA was the first non coding RNA to be sequenced, but its function was unknown until recently. It consists of 184 nucleotides that fold into an extended hairpin structure with a large single-stranded internal bulge. The 6S RNA specifically associates with RNA polymerase holoenzyme containing the sigma70 specificity factor. Lineage: Bacteria; Pseudomonadati; Pseudomonadota; Magnetococcia; Magnetococcales. The record is from RNAcentral.
AAUCCCCUGCGGUGUUCGUGAGAAACGCUUUCCUCCUGAGCCGAUACUUAUAGAACCCAGGAAUCCAUGCCCUGAUCGUGAAGUGCGAGCCCGAACCAUGUGGGAUUGCCGGCAGCGAUUAUUUCAGGAAUCCACUUAUUAAACGGGUUCAGAGGACGCCAAGUCCACGGCACAGGCGGGGGAUUU